Molecule: non-coding RNA, 83 nt
Organism: Jackrogersella minutella
Lineage: Eukaryota; Fungi; Ascomycota; Sordariomycetes; Xylariales; Hypoxylaceae
Source: the annotation of a GenBank genome assembly
UCCAAAUUGGUGUAGUGGUUAACAUCCAAGAUUCUCAAUUCUUUGAACCUCUUGGGCCCAGGGUUCGAUUCCCUGAUUUGGAA